UGAUUGACUUUAGAGCAAGUGGGAGAUUGAAAGAAUAGUGCCCUACAAGCCAAUCGUAUGGGGAUGCGAAGAAAUUUUUCUGUGAUAUCUUCCUACUCAUUUACAUGACAUUAAUUAUUUUAUUUAUAUGAGAUAUUAUGUUUUAUCAUUUACUGUAUCAUAUUCUUAUGAUUAUGAUAAACCCCAUAGAUUAGGGUAAUGAUUUUAGAGCCAUGAGAGAUCAUAUCAGUGAGAUCUAAAAUCUUGAUAGCUUUAAUCUAAAAUAUUCUCAAUCAUUGGAUCAUCGAAUCGG
This 292-nucleotide long non-coding RNA is filed under the name Elaeis guineensis (African oil palm). RNAcentral's name for it is "long non-coding RNA (EGUI_LNC039321)". Lineage: Eukaryota; Viridiplantae; Streptophyta; Magnoliopsida; Arecales; Arecaceae. The record is from RNAcentral.